UUCAAUGUGUACUAUUCCAAAACAAUAAAUCUCGUGAUAAAAUAAAUUGCUAUUAAGAUAUUGAUUACUUGUAUAACUUUGUGACUUCAUUUUCUCAUUUGAGUAUCUGUCAUUUAUCACAUGACCUUUAUAGGUAAAAAGAAUACCUAUAAGUUCUCCUAUUUGUAUAGAAGUAAAAUAUCAUUCAAUUUUUCAUUUGUCCCAUGACUUUUAUGGGAAGAAGGAAUACCUAUAAUAUCUCCUAUUUUUAUAGAAGUAAAAAAUCAAAUACUAGAAGCUUGCUAUGAACCUAAACAACAUAUCAAGGCUCAUUGGUGGAAAGUAAUAGUUCCAUGGGGGCGAGCUCAUUACUUGCACAAGGUGUAAAAAGGACCAACACUUCUACCUUUGCACUACUAGGGAUUAUAGACUCUACCAUGAUGUUUUGGCUAAUAAAAGGUGAGGUGCCUCGACUGGCCUUACAAGAGGUAAAUCUUUAUCAUUAGUUUGCUUGUAUAUGUAUAUAUUCAUAUGUAAAUCCACUACAUGUUAUGCUGAGUAAUGUGUAUUUGUGUUUGUGAAAGAUAAACUAUGAUGCUAAUGAAGAAAAGGUAAGUCACAAAAUUUACAGAUCAUGUACAAGAGAUCAAAAAUGCAGAAUGCACCUCUUGUAUCUGCUUUUGUUGCUACAACAAUCGCUUUAGGGAUUUUCAGUGCCGCACUUACAUUUAUUAUAUGUAAAAUGCACAGCCCUAAUCUCCCCUAAUCAUUAGUUUGGCUUAAUGAUUAUGCAGAUUGGAAGUUUCAUCUUUCAAACUUUAUGUCGACUAUACGUAAAAUCCAAACUGCAUGAUCAUAUUUUUUAUUAACGGCCCAAGUUUAAUCACCACUUUCAAAUGAAAUCUGGAUGCACAGGUCAUCUUCCACCGUAUAGUACACAAAUCCCUAUAGUGUUGGUGGCAGCAUCUAUAGAGGCUCUAGGCAUGGAGGUGAUAGACAACAAGGCUCUCUAACUAGUCAUCGUUUAUUCAGGUUCUGUGGUGGCCAUGCAUUGGAUGCUUUUAUUAAAACUUCUUCUUGCUGUAUGAUGGGUGAUGAUUAGACUUGAAAAUUUGUGUUUGGAAUUUGGGUUUUAGAGAAGAAAAAGAAAACUCUUUGGAAUUAAUAAAAGAAGAACGAAGGGAUAAUAGAGGAU
RNAcentral lists this long non-coding RNA (1174 nucleotides) under Carica papaya (papaya). Its description in RNAcentral is "long non-coding RNA (CPAP_LNC008608)". The record is from RNAcentral. Lineage: Eukaryota; Viridiplantae; Streptophyta; Magnoliopsida; Brassicales; Caricaceae.